GCGGUCGGUCGGCUGACGCGCCUGCGGGGCAGGCCUCGGGGGCCCGGGGUGCGGCCGAGGUCGCCCGCUAGGGGGCCGGGAGCUGCCUGCGCGGCCGUGGCGCCCCAGCGCGCCCCUGCAGCGCGGCCCUGGCGGGCCGGAGGCCGGCGGCCGUGACAGGAAGCAGGGACCCUGCCAGGCUGCCGCCGCUGCAGCCGGGAGCUGCGAUGCCCGAGGCAGACCGGCCCCGAUCGGCCUGGCAGCGGGGGGGCCUCCCGGGCGCGCACCUGGAAGUCUGGGUCCUGGGAAGCGAUGACUGCGCGAAGUGACCGACCGCCCCGAGGCCAGCGGGGUGACGGGCAGGGCGUUCCAAGAAGCAGGCGCACCUGGGAAUGCGCGGCACGGAGGCGGCAGCCAGGCCUGGGUGCGGGAGCGCGGGGCGAGGCCCCGGAGUGAAGCAAUGAGCAUCCACCGCUCAGCAGGGAAGAGAAGCCCGUUUGCAGGAGGCUGCGGCCGACUUUCCGCCCCUGAGCUGAGCUGAGCACUUGGCUUCCAGCGUGAGUCACGGGUCGGACUUUGGACAAGACGAGACCGGCACCUGCAAACCAGAGACCAGGUGUUGUUUGAGCGGACCGGAUCACGGACCAAAGUCGAAGGGAGACUAGUGAGUCUUGAUUGUGACAGUGGGCGGAGGCCGUCCCAUCCGGCGCCGUCGGAGUGUGACAGGGACAGCGAGUGCCACCUGUCUCUCACAAGUCUGGGGCCAGUGAAAAGGCGAGAAUAUCGACGUUAUUACACACAAGGCUCCACUGAAGAAUGUGACUGGGAUGACAACCAAGAGUCUUUUUAAUAUCCCCUGAGUUAAAGUGAGCUCCCC
Long non-coding RNA from Phyllostomus discolor (pale spear-nosed bat), 856 nucleotides. RefSeq lists it as uncharacterized. The record is from RefSeq and is a predicted model, not a curated record. The transcript has 2 exons. NCBI's taxonomy places the organism in Eukaryota, Metazoa, Chordata, Mammalia, Chiroptera, Phyllostomidae.